CGGAGGAUGCAAGCGUUGUCCGGAUUCAUUGGGUUUAAAGGGUGCGUAGGCGGAGAAUUAAGUCAGUGGUGAAAGCUUGCAGCUUAACUGUGAAAAUGCCAUUGAAACUGAUUUUCUUGAGUUCGAUUGAGGUAGAUGGAAUGUAUCAUGUAGCGGUGAAAUGCUUAGAUAUGAUACAGAACACCAAUUGCGAAGGCAGUCUACUAAGUCGAUACUGACGCUGAGGCACGAAAGCAUGGGGAGCAAACAGGAUUAGAUACCCUGGUAGUCCACGCCCUAAACGUUGAUUACUCGUUGUUGGCGAUACACUGUCAGCGACUAAGCGAAAGCGUUAAGUAAUCCACCUGGGGAGUACGAUCGCAAGGUUG
This 368-nucleotide ribosomal RNA is filed under the name uncultured organism. RNAcentral's name for it is "bacterial SSU rRNA". It matches the Rfam family "Bacterial small subunit ribosomal RNA", at positions 526 to 896 of the family's 1533-position model. The record is from RNAcentral.